This 429-nucleotide ribosomal RNA is filed under the name Bacteroidota bacterium. RNAcentral describes it as "Bacteroidetes bacterium partial 16S ribosomal RNA". It matches the Rfam family "Bacterial small subunit ribosomal RNA", at positions 355 to 776 of the family's 1533-position model. The record is from RNAcentral. Lineage: Bacteria; Pseudomonadati; Bacteroidota.
UAGGGAAUCUUCCGCAAUGGACGCAAGUCUGACGGAGCAACGCCGCGUGAGUGAAGAAGGAUUUCGGUUCGUAAAACUCUGUUGUUAGAGAAGAACAGCGCAUAGAGUAACUGUUAUGCGUGUGACGGUAUCUAACCAGAAAGCCACGGCUAACUACGUGCCAGCAGCCGCGGUAAUACGUAGGUGGCAAGCGUUAUCCGGAAUUAUUGGGCGUAAAGCGCGCGUAGGCGGUCAAUUAAGUCUGAUGUGAAAGCCCCCGGCUCAACCGGGGAGGGUCAUUGGAAACUGGUUGACUUGAGUGCAGAAGAGGAGAGUGGAAUUCCAUGUGUAGCGGUGAAAUGCGUAGAUAUAUGGAGGAACACCAGUGGCGAAGGCGACUCUCUGGUCUGUAACUGACGCUGAGGCUCGAAAGCGUGGGUAGCAAACAGG